Molecule: ribosomal RNA, 459 nt
Filed under: uncultured bacterium
Lineage: Bacteria
Description: partial 16S ribosomal RNA
Rfam family: Bacterial small subunit ribosomal RNA
Source: RNAcentral
CCACGGGAGGCAGCAGUGAGGAAUAUUGGUCAAUGGACGAGAGUCUGAACCAGCCAAGUAGCGUGAAGGAUGACUGCCCUAUGGGUUGUAAACUUCUUUUAUAUGGGAAUAAAAUGUUCCACGUGUGGGAUUUUGUAUGUACCCUAUGAAUAAGGAUCGGCUAACUCCGUGCCAGCAGCCGCGGUAAUACGGAGGAUCCGCGCGUUAUCCGGAUUUAUUGGUUUUAAAGGGAGCGUAGGUGGUUUGUGAAGUCAGUUGUGAAAGUUUUCGGCGCAACCGUAAAAUUGCAGUUGAAACUGGGAGUCUUGAGUACAGUAGAGGUGGGCGGAAUUCGUGGUGUAGCGGUGAAAUGCUUAGAUAUCACGAAGAACUCCGAUUGCGAAGGCAGCUCACUGGAAUGCAACUGACACUGAGGCUCGAAAGUGUGGGUAUCAAACAGGAUUAGAUACCCGAGUAGUC